Molecule: long non-coding RNA, 131 nt
Organism: Trachymyrmex cornetzi
Lineage: Eukaryota; Metazoa; Arthropoda; Insecta; Hymenoptera; Formicidae
Exons: 3
Source: RefSeq, a predicted model, not a curated record
AUUAGACAACACACACCGUCAUUAAAACAAGUAAAAUAUAAUAUUAAAAUUUAACGUUAAAUGAGGAAUAUCGAAGGUCGGUAAUAAAAAAAGACCUGCAUUAUCAAUCAUUUUUCAGAAAAAAAAAUUUU